Molecule: ribosomal RNA, 504 nt
Filed under: Triticum aestivum (bread wheat)
Lineage: Eukaryota; Viridiplantae; Streptophyta; Magnoliopsida; Poales; Poaceae
Description: partial small subunit ribosomal RNA
Source: RNAcentral
AUGAUCUGGGAGCAGCUUGUAUACUCUGAGGACCCAAUUGAUAUUUUGAAUAUCAAGUUGAAGCGCAUCAAAAAAUAUUUUAAAGGCUGGGGUUCGCAUGCUUUUGGGCAUGCGAGGAAAAGGAAAAGGUGGAUCAAGCAGGAGUUGGAAGAGAUUGAAAAAGAAGAGGAAAAUGGCCCCCUUGACCCUGAGACAUAUGAGAAAAGAACUUUUUUAUGUGCGGAGUUGAAAGAGAUCCUUGCAGACGAAGAGUUUUUUUGGUUACAGCCUUCUAAUGAAAGAUGGUUGCUGAAGGGAGAUCAAAACACAGCCUACUUUCAUCGUGUUGCUAAUGGCAGAAGAGGAAAAAAUACUAUUCACUCUCUUACCAAUGGGGAGACUUUUAUAGAGGGUACAAAAAACCUACUAAACCAUGCCACAGCCUUCUACAAGGAACUCUUUGGCCUUGCGAAGGGAAACUUGUUCCACUUGUCCAUUGACAGAUGGUCUAGCGAUGAGAAACUC